RNAcentral lists this transfer RNA (73 nucleotides) under Alosa alosa (allis shad). RNAcentral's name for it is "tRNA-OTHER". Lineage: Eukaryota; Metazoa; Chordata; Actinopteri; Clupeiformes; Clupeidae. The record is from RNAcentral.
GCCGUGGCCUACCUGGUUAGGGCUUCGAACUUGUAACCGGAGGGUUGCCGGUUCGAACCCCGACCAGUAGGCA